Molecule: transfer RNA, 68 nt
Filed under: Papio ursinus (Chacma baboon)
Lineage: Eukaryota; Metazoa; Chordata; Mammalia; Primates; Cercopithecidae
Description: tRNA-Pro
Rfam family: tRNA
About the family: Transfer RNA (tRNA) molecules are approximately 80 nucleotides in length. Their secondary structure includes four short double-helical elements and three loops (D, anti-codon, and T loops).
Source: RNAcentral
CAGAAAGUAGUCUAAGUUAGGACGCCAGUUUUGGGUGUUGGUAGUGGAGUUGAGCGCUCUCUUUCUGA